RNAcentral lists this ribosomal RNA (265 nucleotides) under uncultured bacterium. Its description in RNAcentral is "partial 16S ribosomal RNA". It matches the Rfam family "Bacterial small subunit ribosomal RNA", at positions 793 to 1055 of the family's 1533-position model. The record is from RNAcentral.
GUCCACGCCCUAAACGAUGUCUACUAGUUGUUGGUGGAGUAAAAUCCAUGAGUAACGCAGCUAACGCGUGAAGUAGACCGCCUGGGGAGUACGGUCGCAAGAUUAAAACUCAAAUGAAUUGACGGGGGCCCGCACAAGCGGUGGAUUAUGUGGAUUAAUUCGAUGCAACGCGAAAACCUUACCUGGCCUUGACAUGUACCGAAUUUGGGAGAGAUUCCUUAGUGCUCGAAAGAGAACGGUAACACAGGUGCUGCAUGGCUGUCGU